UCUGGCUGCUACCUCUGUCUGGAAUGUUCUUCUCAGGCCUCGCUCAUACCUCUUCAUCUGGUUAAUUCCUGUUCUGCCUUCAAUGUCAGCUUACUUCCUUAAGACAUCUCUUGAGAAAUGCUAAGCGGGAUGCUUGACACAGUUGGUCACUCCCAGGCUCCAAACGUCCUGACUUUCCAUCUCACACAGAAGAAAUUGGUCUACAAGAACAUUACUCUCACCUACUUCAGAGAAGAAAGCGGGUGCUUUUGGCUAAGGCACAUGGGGCAUGGCACCAUUAGCAGAUGUGGCCCUGUUGGAGUAGGUGUAUCAUUGUGGGCCUGGGUUUAAGACUCUCAUCCUAGCGGACU
Non-coding RNA from Mus caroli (Ryukyu mouse), 350 nucleotides. Lineage: Eukaryota; Metazoa; Chordata; Mammalia; Rodentia; Muridae. The record is from RefSeq and is a predicted model, not a curated record.